UUAACUCAUAAUUGUAAGAAGUUGAAAGGUUUACCUACGUUGGCCACUAGGGGCGCUGUUCCAACUGCAUACAAAUUUAAGUUA
RNAcentral lists this microRNA precursor (84 nucleotides) under Bombyx mori (domestic silkworm). RNAcentral describes it as "mir-2807 microRNA precursor family". It matches the Rfam family "mir-2807 microRNA precursor family". The record is from Rfam by way of RNAcentral. Lineage: Eukaryota; Metazoa; Arthropoda; Insecta; Lepidoptera; Bombycidae.